This 1135-nucleotide long non-coding RNA is filed under the name Numida meleagris (helmeted guineafowl). Its description in RNAcentral is "lncRNA (ENSNMEG00000001798.1)". The record is from RNAcentral. Lineage: Eukaryota; Metazoa; Chordata; Aves; Galliformes; Numididae.
UUCAUGCUGCACAGUAAAAGAAGAAAGGUGGCACAUGCUUGACACUAGCAGCCUGAUAUUUGACAAGUGAGUUUUAGAUAGGAAGAUGGAGGAUUUUUCUCUUAAAUUGAUGUUUAUAAACAUUAAUUAAGCUUAAAAUUCCUAUUAAUAUUCAUCCUUUUUACAAUCACAGAAGCUCAUUGAUUUAACUUCAGUCCAGGCACAAACAAGGGAGGACCUGGUUUUGGCUAGGCACUGACCGUCAUUGGCUUCAGCAUGACAUCCUCAGCAGGUCUGGAUGGCUCCUCUGUGACACAAGUCCUGCUGUCCAAGCACCAUCAGCAAUCCCACCUGGCUGGCUGGACUACAAAUUUUACUGAUGCCAUCAUCCCAAAACUCUCUAACCUGUUAUCAGAAGGCAAAAUGUGCUUGUGGUGUGUUAGGAGACAGCAAAGCCAGUGUGUUUUUCUUUUUUUUUUUUAAGAGGCUAUACUCAUUUUUCUUAAAUCCCAUCCUCAGUUUGCAUUGUAACAUAUAAUACUCAUUUUGCAGGUGCUGAGGUUUUUUUCCUCGGAUAAAAAGGAAUUCUGCCCAUUGCUUGUGGGUAGAAUGUGAGGACUUGCCUUGUCUGUGUAUAUGUUACUGACUGUAAGAAGAGAAGACUGGAGAACACCGAGAGGGGAUCCUAUCUUCUAUAUGGAGACUGUAAACUGGAUGGGGCCAGGCUCUGUUCAGUGGUGUGCAGUGACAGGGCAAGGCGUAAUGAGCACAAACAGGAACACAAGAAGUUCUAUCUGAACAUGAGGAAUAUCUUCUUUACUGUGAAGGUAACAGAGCACUGGAACAAGCUGCUCAAAGAAGUUGUGGAGAUUCAGAACCAGCCUGGAAGCUUUCCUGUGCAACCUACUGUAGGGAACCUGCAGGAGGGUUGCACUCGAUCUCCAGAGGCCCCUUCCAACUCCUAUAAUUCUGUGAUUCUGUGAUGGUGUGAUUUGAAAAUACAAGUUACCUGACAGUUCUGCAUGCCACCAGUUAUGGUUUCUUACAUGAAAAUUCAGUGCAAGAAGUAAAAAUAUCUGAUCUUGUAGGAAAAUACACCUUAAAAUUAUUACAAGUAAUUUUUCCCUUCCUUACUGGAAAUUUCUGGGAUGAUUCC